Silurus meridionalis is the source of this 2214-nucleotide RNA transcript. It is a transcript of the gene named PGAM family member 5, serine/threonine protein phosphatase, mitochondrial, with no coding region annotated. Lineage: Eukaryota; Metazoa; Chordata; Actinopteri; Siluriformes; Siluridae. The record is from RefSeq and is a predicted model, not a curated record. The transcript has 7 exons.
CAGACUGAGAGACAGACAGAGGUUUUUUUAAGGAAGCGGAAGUAGCCGGCGCUGUGCGGUGCGGCGGGUCACGUGACGUGAGGUGUGCUUUCCGUGAUUCCCGGUGCUGUAGGCUGUGAGCGGUUAUAGCGCUUUUUAUAAAGGCGUCAUUAGACAGGGAUGUAUUUCCGGCGGGCAGUGAGGCUGGCGUGCGUGGUCGCCGGAGGAUCCACGGCGGUGGCGGUCGCGUACGCUGCGUGGGCGGAUGGACACCGGGAGGUGUUGCGGUCCAGCGCCGGACUCGGGGCCGUGAUCCAUGCUGCCCAGCCUGCUACACCCUCCAGCUGGGAUAAUAACUGGGAUAAGAGAGAUCCGUCGUCUAUCAGCAGCAGCAGCAGGAGGAAAGUAAGUGGAGGAGAUGAGAACGGUGUGGAGACGGAGAACAACAAACCCACGGCCACGCGACACAUCUUCCUCAUCAGACACUCACAGUACAACCUGAACGGCAACGGAGACAAGGAGAAGAGACUCACUGCUUUAGGUCGCGAGCAGGCGGAGUUAACAGGACAGAGGUUGGCAUCUCUCGGCCUGAAGUACAACUUACUGAUCCACUCCAGCAUGGCACGAGCCACCGAGACCGCUCAGAUCAUCAGUACUCACCUGCCAGAAGUGAACAUGGUGAGCUGUGAUCUCCUGCGAGAAGGAGCUCCUAUUGAACCUGUUCCUCCUGUCAGUCACUGGAAACCUGAGGCUGUGCAGUACCAUGAGGAUGGCGCUCGAAUCGAGGCAGCGUUCCGGCGCUACAUCCACCGAGCCGAGCCGAGUCAGAAGGAGGACAGCUACGAGAUCAUCAUCUGUCACGCUAACGUCAUCCGCUAUUUUGUGUGCAGAGCUUUGCAGUUUCCUCCUGAAGGCUGGCUGCGUUUGGGCCUCAAUAACGGCAGCAUCACGUGGCUCACGGUUCGGCCGAGCGGAAGGGUGGCACUGCGGGCGCUGGGGGACUCGGGCUUCAUGCCACCUGACAAAGUGACACGCACCUGACACUCCCAACCCGAACCAGAACCUGAACCCCCCCAAUCAGAAACUCAUCCCACACAACGUCCAGCCGUAUCUGAAGUCUUGGAGGAAACACUUUCUGUCUGUACUGAACUUCUUACCGACCACAGAGUCAGAAAGGCAGAGUGACUCUGUACCGACUCAUCUUUUAUAUGACUCUGACUCAUUUAUAUGACUCUGACUCAGGACUGACUACUCCAUAUGACUCUGACUUGGUUCUGAUUCAUCUAUAUGAUUCUGAUUCAGUAUUGACUCAUCUAUAUAACUCCAAUUUACUACUGACUCAUCUUCUAUGCGACUCUGACUCAGUACUGAUUCAUAUUUUUCAUUUGGUUCUGAUUCAUUUCUGAUCUGAUGAUGAAAAACCUGAUGUUCAUGUCUUAAAUUCUUAGUGUGUGGUGGUGGUGGUGGUGGUGUGUGUGUGUGUGUGUGUGUGUGUGUGUGUGUGUGUGUGUGGUGUAUUCUAUGAUUGUGGUGUGAGUCUGAUCCCUGAGUGAAGUGUCUGAUUACUCCUGAUGAACAGACUCGACUUGUAAACACAAGAAAACCCCAGCAUUGUGUGUGUGUGUGUGUGAGAUCAGCAGUGCUCUGUAACACACACUGUAGUGUUUUUGUGGGAGCAGGAUCUUCUGACUCCUGAACGGGUUUUUGUGAGAUGUGUGACUGAUACAAAUCCUGAGGCCUUGAUGUGUGAUGAUCGUUUUCACGUCAAAAUCAUCACACACCUCAACCUUAUUUUGAAUCCAAAUGUUUUUUCUCAAAGCCAGCACUCUGUGUGUGUGUGUGUGUGUGUGUGUGUGUGUGUGUGUGUGUGUGUGUGUGUGUGUGUGUGUGUGUGUGUGUGUGAGAACGUGUGAAAAAACAUACAUGGACGAAUUGGCAACGUUUAUUACUGAAGUGAAAUAAAACAGAACUCAUCUGCUGAAUCCAGACAGAGUUGCGUUUGGGACCAGCAGGUGGCGCUGCAAGGGGGACGUCCCCCAUCUCUUCACCAUAUGAAGCUGUGCUACAGAGUUCUACCACAUGAACAAUUCAUUAGCGUUCUUCAUUCAGCUAGUUUUCUCCAACACGUCAGAGUACCGCGUACAUUUCAAUACGUCUGCAUCAGCCAUAAAUAAUUACGGAUACAAAUCUACACUCAUACGUACACUUACACACACACACACACACACACACAUA